CUAACACAUGCAAGUCGAACGGUUAAACCGCCUUCGGGCGGACAUACAGUGGCGAACGGGUGAGUAACACGUGACCAACCUGCCCCGCGCUCCGGGACAACCUCGGGAAACCGAGGCUAAUACCGGAUGCGCCGCCCGCCCCGCAUGGGGCGGGCGGGAAAGCCGAGACGGCGCGGGAUGGGGUCGCGGCCCAUCAGGUAGACGGCGGGAUGAGAGCCCACCGUGCCUGCGACGGGUAGCCGGCCUGAGAGGGCGAUCGGCCACAUUGGGACUGAGAUACGGCCCAGACUCCUACGGGAGGCAGCAGUGGGGAAUUUUGCGCAAUGGGGGAAACCCUGACGCAGCAACGCCGCGUGCGGGACGAAGGCCUUCGGGUUGUAAACCGCUUUCAGCAGGGAAGACAUCGACGGUACCUGCAGAAGAAGCCCCGGCUAACUACGUGCCAGCAGCCGCGGUAACACGUAGGGGGCGAGCGUUAUCCGGAUUCAUUGGGCGUAAAGCGCGCGU
Molecule: ribosomal RNA, 507 nt
Filed under: uncultured bacterium
Lineage: Bacteria
Description: bacterial SSU rRNA
Rfam family: Bacterial small subunit ribosomal RNA
Source: RNAcentral